Molecule: ribosomal RNA, 240 nt
Filed under: uncultured bacterium
Lineage: Bacteria
Description: partial 16S ribosomal RNA
Rfam family: Bacterial small subunit ribosomal RNA
Source: RNAcentral
UGAGGAACAUGACCUUCGGCGGGGGAUAGCCGGCCCAACAGCCGGGUAAUACCGCGUACGACCUUUCGGGGACAUCCCCGGCUGGUGAAAGCAGCAAUGCGCCGAAGGAGUGCCUCGCGGCCUAUCAGCUAGUUGGUGAGGUAACGGCUCACCAAGGCGACGACGGGUAGCUGGUCUGAGAGGAUGACCGGCCACACUGGGACUGAGACACGGCCCAGGCUCCGUACGGGAGGCAGCAGG